This 252-nucleotide ribosomal RNA is filed under the name uncultured bacterium. RNAcentral's name for it is "partial 16S ribosomal RNA". It matches the Rfam family "Bacterial small subunit ribosomal RNA", at positions 524 to 776 of the family's 1533-position model. The record is from RNAcentral.
UACAGAGGUCUCAAGCGUUGUUCGGAUUCAUUGGGCGUAAAGGGUGUGUAGGUGGCGCGCUAAGUCGGGUGUGAAAUUUCGGAGCUUAACUCCGAAACUGCAUUCGAUACUGGCGUGCUUGAGGACUGGAGAGGAGACUGGAAUUCAUGGUGUAGCAGUGAAAUGCGUAGAGAUCAUGAGGAGACCAGUGGCGAAGGCGGGUCUCUGGACAGUUCCUGACACUGAGACACGAAGGCCAGGGGAGCAAACGGG